Homo sapiens (human) is the source of this 1129-nucleotide long non-coding RNA. The record is from Ensembl. NCBI's taxonomy places the organism in Eukaryota, Metazoa, Chordata, Mammalia, Primates, Hominidae.
GACUUAGCCAAGCUCUGCAUUUUGAGCCUGCUGACUUUCAUUUAAAAGGAAUGAAAGGCUGAAAAUCCAGGCUGCUGUGUCUGUAGAUAAAGGUCAAACCAUGUUUGAGUUCUUCACUGUUGUGUCCACCUAAAUAAAACUGAGUCGUUUGAAUUGACUUCUGAUAGGCAACAGUGCCUUGUUUCCGAUGAGUUUGAUGUCAGGAUCCAUGAGAGAAGAGUGGUAAGCCAGCAUCUUGGCGGCGCCCGGGUUUCAACCCAGAGGAGCAGGAUCGGAAGCAUUGUUAAGUACAGAGGUCUUUGGAGUUCCUUAUCAUCUUUGACAGUGCUAGGACUGCUUUUUUCUAUAUCAGACACGUGGGCUCCUGCUGUGUCUUCCUGGAAAGCAGAGGCCAAGGAUGGAGCAGACCAAGAGGAUGCCAGGAAAAAUCACAAAGAAGCCCAGAAAGCACAGCUGGAAGCCAAGAACCCUAUUUUUGGUUUGUGUGGGUGGAAGGUGAGGGACAACAUAUAGUGACCAACAGGAUUCUUCAUUUGAAAGAGAAUGGAGUACAUCAGACCUGUGUAUUUAGGUGAAGUAUGAUAAACAUCAUCAUACUUCAAAGAUUAUGAACAUCAAAGAUUAUGGAAAGGAACAUGACUGCUUAGUUUAUUCCAUUACCAGUGAUCUGCUUGUUUGUUCAUUUGCUUACCCAUCCAUUCAUUUAUUCAUUCAUUCCUCCAUCCAUUCUCUUUCACUUAUUCUACAAUCAUGAUUGUAUGCCUACCAUAUCGCUAGAGAGAGGGCAGGAAAAGAUCCAAGGAUGUGAAUACAAUCUUCUGCUUCAUGAUGAGAGCUAAAGGAAUCUGUAAAGACUUUGUCUUUUUCAUUUUUCUCUCUCCUACAUAGACCCUGGAAAAUGUUUUAUUUCUUAUAAUUUGCCUGAGGUUUACUCAUCCACUACCAGAGCUCUGAAAACACUCUUCAGAACACUAUUUUAAAAUAAUGACAAUGACAAUAAUAGAUAACAUAUAUUCAGUGUUUUUUGUAUGUGAAGCAAUGUAAUAACCAUUUAAAAUGAUUGUAACUAUACUUUAUAAGAGUAUGAUGAAACAGGCACUAUUAAAAUGCUAGUUUUUCACACAGCUAA